This 473-nucleotide ribosomal RNA is filed under the name uncultured bacterium. Its description in RNAcentral is "bacterial SSU rRNA". It matches the Rfam family "Bacterial small subunit ribosomal RNA", at positions 29 to 506 of the family's 1533-position model. The record is from RNAcentral.
AUUAACGCUGGCAGAAUGCAUAACACAUGCAAGUCGAGCGGGGGUGGCGGAUUAUUGCGCCCUAGCGGCAGACGAGUGAGUAACACGUAAAUAACCUGCCCCUGAAAGGCGAACAACUCUCCGAAAGGAGUGCUAAUACGCCGUAUAAUCCACCGAAGGCAUCUUCGGAGGAUGAGAGAUCGCAAGCUCGUUCAGGGAGGGAUUUGCGGCCCAUCAGCUAGUUGGCAGUGUAACGGACUACCAAGGCUAUGACGGGUACCCGGCCUGAAAGGGCGGACGGGCACGAAGGAACUGAGACACGGGCCUUACUCCUACGGGAGGCAGCAGUGGGGAAGUUUGGACAAUGGGCGAAAGCCUGAUCCAGCAAGUCUGCGUGAGGGACGAAGUUCUUCGGAAUGUAAACCUCUUUUAGUGGGGACGAACACCCGCAAGGGUUUGACGGUACCCAGUGAAUAAGCCACGGCUAACUAUGU